GCACCUGGUGUUAUUGUCGCAGUGGCCCUCUCCGGUCUCCGUAACUUGAUCUUUCAUUCACUCCAGUUUAACAGUAUCACUAAAUCUGCUCUUUUGCUCUUCACUCGUUUCUUUUGCGUGAGAAACUUUGGUGACCUUUACCUCCAAUCCCAAGUCCCAACAACAGUUUAUUUUGGAGCUAUAUUCUGCACUAUGAUUCCAUUUAAUGCUACGGUAUGUAUUGGAAUAUCAUAAUAUUAAUGAUUAAUGAACAGUGUAUUUUUGAGUGCAGCUACUGUAUAUCUCAUAUAUAGUUUAAAGGGUAACUUCUAUUAAUGAAAAAGGGUGUAUUAAAAACUAUACCAUCCUAGACUGGAUGGCAUGAUUAAUCUCUUUUGAUUUUUUUUUCAGGUAAUUGCCACCCUUACCUUUUUUGUGAAACAAAGAAAGAAAACUAAAAAAAGAAAACAUUUACUGACUGUCUUUGAGCUGAUGUCUUAUGUCAAAGACAAGGCUUUACUCAUUAUUGGCAAAGCCAGUCACAAGUCAAUUAACCAUCGUGUCCACGCUAAUAGGGUUUACUUAGCAGAGUUUGAGGAUGUCAUGGAUGAACUGUUGUUUCAUCUCUACACUAUGUCAGACAGUCUCCACAACACCCUGCCGGCAAAAGAAAAUCUAUUUGAAACCCAGACUAAUUUCUCUGUGCCGCUUUCUGGGCAUGUUUAUAGCUCAGACUCAGAGGUGAUUGUUUCCCUUUUGCACAGAACUCAAGUUAUUCAAGCUGUAUUGUACAAGCACAUAUUUAUGCAACUUAUGCAUGUAUUUUGCUAUAUUUAUACAGUAUUAGUAAUGUAUCUGAAUAAUAUGUCAGUAUUAGUAAUGAUGUCUGAAGCACCAGUUUAUAAAAGUGAAAAAGGUUAUCUAAUAAAAUGUAUAUUAUAUUAAAAGAAUAGUUCACCCAAUAUGAAAACUUGUUUGAAAAUGUACUCACCCUCAAGCCAACCAAGAUGUAGUUCAGUUUGUUUCUUCAUCAGAAUAGAUUUGGAGUGAUUUAGCACUACAUCACUUGAUCACCAAUGGAUCCUCUGCAGUGAAUGGGUGCCAUCAGGAUAAGUGUCCAACCGGCUGAUAAAAUCAUCACAAUAAUCCAUAAGUAAACCACAUGCCAUAUGCCAAGUCUAUCUAUUAAUAGCUUGUGAAGUGAAAAAAAUUCAAGUCAUUUUAACUUUAAGCCAUUGGUACUGGCCAAAGUUUCUCCAAAUCUGUUCAGAUAAAAAAA
This 1258-nucleotide long non-coding RNA is filed under the name Carassius auratus (goldfish). RNAcentral's name for it is "lncRNA (ENSCARG00000053249.1)". Lineage: Eukaryota; Metazoa; Chordata; Actinopteri; Cypriniformes; Cyprinidae. The record is from RNAcentral.